This 74-nucleotide transfer RNA is filed under the name Isoalcanivorax pacificus W11-5. RNAcentral's name for it is "Alcanivorax sp. W11-5 tRNA". It matches the Rfam family "tRNA". Rfam says of the family: Transfer RNA (tRNA) molecules are approximately 80 nucleotides in length. Their secondary structure includes four short double-helical elements and three loops (D, anti-codon, and T loops). The record is from Rfam by way of RNAcentral. Lineage: Bacteria; Pseudomonadati; Pseudomonadota; Gammaproteobacteria; Oceanospirillales; Alcanivoracaceae.
CGGGGCGUAGCGCAGCCUGGUAGCGCACUUGCAUGGGGUGCAAGGGGUCGAAGGUUCAAAUCCUUCCGUCCCGA